Oncorhynchus tshawytscha (Chinook salmon) is the source of this 1814-nucleotide long non-coding RNA. Lineage: Eukaryota; Metazoa; Chordata; Actinopteri; Salmoniformes; Salmonidae. The record is from Ensembl.
AAAAAACUUGUGUUAUGGAUUUCCAUCCUCUGACCUAUUAUGGAUUGAGAGUUAACUGUCUAAUAGAACACAGAGGGUUUUCAUUAAUGGAAGCCAUGUAAAUUCAGUUGACUGUGGUGUACCGCAGGGCAGCCGGUUAGGGUCAUUAUUGAUUUCUGUUUUUACAAAUGACCCUCCACUGACCUUGAAUAAAAUCUUUGUUUCUAUGUACGUUGACAAUUCAACAGUAUACACAUCGGCUGCAACAGUAAACUAAAUAACAGACCCCUAACAUAGAACUCCAGUCAGUUUUAGAAUGGGUAACUAGCAAUAGGCUGGUGCUGAAUUAUGCUUUUAGUUUUUGAGAUAUUUUUCUGACAAAUUACCCACAGGUAUUUUAUUGAAUAAUGUGGCUAUUGAGCAAGUUGAGGAGACUAAACUGCUGGGUGUAACCCUAGAUAGCAUGCUGUCAUGGUCAAAACAUAGACUCAAUGGUUGCUAAAAUGGGAAGAGGUCUGGCCAUGAUAGGGCGUUGCUCUAUCAAAGUGUCAGUAACAUGCAUGUCAGUCUCUCCUGGCUCAAAGUUGAGGAGAGAUUGACUGCAUCCCUAUUGGUCUUUGUGCGAGGUGUUGAAGAUACCAAACUGUCUGUUCAAGCAGUAGGCACACAGUUUGGACACUCGUUGGUUCAACACAAAACAUGCCACCAGAGGUCUCUUCACAGUCCCCAGGUCCAGAACAGAGGCUGGGAAACACAAAAUAUGAAAUAGAGCCACGACUACAUCAAACUCUCUGCCACCCCAGGUAACUCAAGCUAGGGGACCCCAGGUAACUCAAGCUAGGGGACCCCCAGGUAACUCAAGCUAGCAAUAAAAACAGAUAUAAUAACACCUUAUGGAGGACUGUGAAGAGACACAGGUAUUUUGAUAUCUUUGUAUUGUAACCUGCGCUGUACUAUGCAUUAGACCUAGAUACAUGCCACCAGAGGUCUCUUCACAGUCCCCAGGUCCAGUGUGCCUACUGCAUGUACUCAUAUGAUAGCUGUGUGUGAAGUUUUAAAUGCAUGUAUUUCAGUCCUUGACUAAAAACGAUCUUUCCGUACUAUGUAUUGCUUCCUGUGGACCCCAGGAAGAGUAGCUGAUGCUUUUGCAGCGACUAAUGAGGAUCCCCUAAUAAAUACCAGGACCAAUUAGUGGGCAAAAGACCAGAAUCGAGCUGCCUGUGUAAACGCACCCUAAGAGGAAAGCAGUUACUAUUGCACGUUCAGACGUGAAUAGUGUUCAUUUAGUUUGAUUAGGCUUUUCAUGUCAGAUAUGGUAUAAACACUACAGUAUAUGGCGAUGUAUCCAUGCAAAGCUACACAUUAUUUGGUCAUGGGGCGGCAGGGUAGCCUAGUGGUUAGAGUGUAGAGGCGGCAGGGUAGCCUAGUGGUUAGAGUGUAGGGGCGGCAGGGUAGCCUAGUGGUUAGAGUGUAGAGGCAGCAGGGUAGCCUAGUGGUUAGAGCGUUGGACUAGUAACCGGAAGGUUGCAAGUUCAAAUCCCCGAGCUGACAAGGCACAAAUCUGUCGUUCUGCCCCUGAACAGGCCGUUAACCCACUGUUCCUAGGCCGUCGUUGAAAAUAAGAAUUUGUUCUUAUUAACUGACUUGCCUGGUUAAAUAAAGGUUAAACAAAAAAAUAAAUGUAUGGCUUAUAUAUUAUUAUUAUUAUUAUACAAAAUAGAGAAUUUGAAAUGACAUGUUACAGGAGUGCAAAUACAACUGUCAAUUUAAAGCGAUUAUAUUUCCCAACUAGAUAGUUUUUUAAAAACGGAAUACAUUGGGAGUGUUAGGGAGAG